AUUGAAACACUGAUUCUCACAUGAUCACCAAAGUUAAGCAACAUCGAGCCUGUUCAAUACCUAGAUGGGUGACUUCUUGGGAAUACUAGAUGCUGUAA
This is a non-coding RNA of Acanthosepion pharaonis, 98 nucleotides long. Lineage: Eukaryota; Metazoa; Mollusca; Cephalopoda; Sepiida; Sepiidae. The record is from the annotation of a GenBank genome assembly.